AUGCUAAGAGAAUGGACUCUCAGAGAAAAACUUUUUUUAAAUUAAAAAUUGAAAUUUUUUUAAUUUGUGCAGAAACAAUUAUUAAUAUUAAGGACAAGAAGACCCUAUGAAUUUAUUAAAUUUCAUUCAAUAUGUAAUUACUAUUGAAGAAAUUUUGGCUGGGGCGGCUAAAAAAUAUUUUAAACUUUUUAAAAAUAAAAUGAUCCAUUAUUAAUGAUUAUAUGUUAAAUACUCUAGGGAUAACAGCGUUAUAUUUUUUGAUAGACCAUAUUGACAAAAAAGUUUGCGACCUCGAUGUUGGAUUAGGAUACUUUUU
This 316-nucleotide ribosomal RNA is filed under the name Rhipicephalus sanguineus (brown dog tick). RNAcentral's name for it is "partial large subunit ribosomal RNA". The record is from RNAcentral. Lineage: Eukaryota; Metazoa; Arthropoda; Arachnida; Ixodida; Ixodidae.